This is a non-coding RNA of Danio rerio (zebrafish), 3228 nucleotides long. Lineage: Eukaryota; Metazoa; Chordata; Actinopteri; Cypriniformes; Danionidae. The record is from RefSeq and is a predicted model, not a curated record.
GAAAAAACCCGUCACACCCAAAAACACGCGAGGCAGACUCAGUACAGGAAGCACGGUGUGCUUUAAGAUAUCUGCACACUGGUGAAUAAACAACAUUACUGUGGCAUCAUGGGGGUUCACGGACUUACAAGUUUUGUGGAAGGAAAUCAUCAGUUUUUAACAGAAAUGAGACUACGAGACUGCCGCCUUGUAAUAGAUGGGUGUAGUUUGUAUUUUCAAUUGUAUUUCAAAUCGGGAUUGGAUCAAGCACGAGGUGGAGACUACGACUUGUUUGCGGUGUUGGUUCGACAGUUCUUUGCUGCACUCUCAGAAUGUGCUGUGCAGCCUUACGUGGUGGUGGAUGGCGGAAUGGAUCAGACAGACAAGAAGUUCAAGACACUGCAGGAACGAACCCAAAGCAAGAUCCGAGAGGCUCACUCUCUUUCCAGAGGAUCUCAUGGUUACAUUCUCCCGCUACUUGCAAGAGAAGUCUUCAAACAGGUCCUUUUUGAGCUUGGCGUGCCAUUGGUGCAAUGCAUUUCUGAAGCUGAUUUUGAAAUAGCCUCUCUUGCUAAACAAUGGGGAUGUCCCGUUCUGACCAAUGACAGUGACUUCUUCAUUUUUGACCUGAAAGGAGGCUACCUACCAUUUUCAUUUUUUCAGUGGAAUAACGUCAGCGGUAAGUCUGCAGAACGCUACAUCCCUGCACGUCAUUUCACCGUGAACCGCUUCUGCAUGCAUUUCAACCACAUGAACAAGCAGCUCCUCCCUCUGUUCGCUGUUAUUACUGGAAACGACUACACACCUGGUAAAAUAACUGACAUUUUUUUCAGUCGUGUGGAGUUUGAAAGAGUUCCAUCGGGUCGGAAGUCUGGACGAAGUUCCAGUCCUCGAAUUGAGGGAUUUUUGCUCUGGCUGUCUCAGUUUGCCAACCCGGCAGACGCUCUAGAGAUGGUUUUGGUGAUAUUAGGUGGACAACAGAAAGGAAACUUGCGUGCUCAGCUUUCCACAAGACUGAAAGACUACCAGCUUCCUCAAAACAGCAGCCUGGCUCAGUAUUUUUUAAAUCCCCAACCUGCACUACCAGAUACCCAGGGGCUCCCAGUGGCUCUGGUUUCUCAACCAGAGUGGCUUUUAAAGAUGAUUGCAUCAGGACAACUGUCCUCAUUUGUCUUGGAUGUGCUUGUUCACCAGAAGGUUCUGCUGGUUGCGCAGGUGGAAAAUAGUCACCUGGCUAGCAGUCACAUGACCUCACUGAGUAUUCGAAAGACCAUCUACAGCCUUCUGCUUGAUAAGCCAAAACAGGAGAGUCAGAUGCCACAGACGAGCACCCAGAAAGGAAGAGGACAAGGGGACAUGACCAAACAUUCUCAGGGUAAAGGAGGUCUGUUUUACACUCCUUGUGUUGAUGAGUAUGAUAGACAUGAACUGAAUCUCAAGAAAAACACGGUGGAGGCUCACCAACCUGCCUCUGUGCCACAACUAUAUCUUACAGCUAUUGACAAGGCGUCUGCACAAGUGAGGCUGCAGGUGUUGUUGGGAGCACUGGGUGUGAUGGAACACAUUUUACAGCCAUUACCUUCUCAACUUUGCCUUGCAGUGUGUGUGACGUUUUUUUGGAUGAAUAACUGCAAACCAAAGCCCACUCAGCCACUACUCCAAGCAAUAUUGCUGGGAUUUGUGUACGGGGAGCUCAGCUGGAGAAGAACCCAUCCUAAUGACCCACUGUUUGGCAGCAAAGCUUCAGCUUCUGUAUGUCAGCGAUUAUCUCAGCUAAGGGUCAAUCCAGGGCAAAGGAGGGGUCUUGAUCUGGGUGUGGCCCAUUUGCUCAGCCAAUGGCAGUCCUGUAUGUGGGUGACGAUGUUCCUGAACCAGUUAUUGUGUUUUCCGCUACCUGAACCUCAGUGUGCCUGGGUUUUCAGCGGUUCUCUGCUGCAUGGUCUGGAAGCUGCCAUAAGAGGGGGUCAGCAGUCGGAGUCUCUGCUUGCAGGUGACCCUGUAGCUCCGCAGCUCUUCUCCAUCCUGCAGGAGGCAUUGACUGGUCCUGCAGCAUCAGCCAACAAAAGUAGAGGAGGAGGGCAGAGGCAGACACAGCAGAGAGGGAGGGGCUAUGAGGGGAGAGGGCGGAGCAAUAGAGGAAGAGGGAGGGGCAACAGAAGCAGAGGAAUGGCAUCUUCAAACAGUGCUUUAGACAACAGGUUUCAGCUGUUGACACUUGAUGACUGGCAGCAGUGUUGAGCUGAAGCACAGCUGGUUUAGAAGAGCAAACAUAUUUUAUGGACAUUUCUAUGCAGCUUUUCACUUUAUAAAAUCAUGAUGUUUUGCCUUUGCCCUUUGCAGAUGAAAGCAGCUAUUACUAACUUCAGCUUUAAAGUGUUAGUUCACACACAAAAAAAGAGAAUUCACUCACUAUUUACUCAUCCUCAAGUGGUUUCAAACCUUCAUAAGAUUCUUUGUUCUAUUGAACACUAAAGAAAAAGAAAUCUGAAAACCUGUAACCCUUGACUUCCAUAGUAGGAAAAACAAAUAUUAUGGAAGUCAAUGGUUACAGGUUUCCAGCUUGUUUACAAUAUUGUCUUUUGUAUUUAGCACAAGAAAGAAAAACAAAUAAUAAUUUGAGGGUGAACUAUUGCUUUUAGGCCGUUUGUUUACUAUUAUUCAAAUGCUUUAAAAUGCAUUUAUGUAUUCACCAGGGUUCAGUACCAUGAAGCCAGAUAAGCUGGUUAGCCAGUUAAAUUUCAAAUUAGUUUGCAGCAGUUCUGGGUUUUAGGUACCAUAUAGGUAGAUCAGCUCAGCGGCUCCAUAAUACCAUAACAACAAAGUGGGAUUGAAGUCGAGCUGGCUUCAUGUCACCUAAAACCCAAGAAUGGUGCAAACUAAACCAAAACUUGACUGGCUAGCCAGCUAAUCCAGCUUCAUUAUAUGGCCUCAAGGCUUACUUGCACUGAAAAUAUUUAGCAGUCACAAUUUUUAAUACUAAUGUAAUUCUCUUUUAUGACCAAAAAUCUAGUUUUGUAUAUCAUGAAAUGGCUUUCUUACUUUAGGAUCAAUGUUUUUGUGCCUACUUAAGUUAAGAAAUAUUUUAUAGUGCCUUUAAUUUGCUUGUGUCAUUGAUGUUUAAUGUGAAUCUGAUUCCUGUAUUUAGGAAUUAGGUAAGGCUUGAUUAUUGUGUUAAGAUGACAGCCAAUGGUUACGCCAACACAUAUUCAAUAGACUUCAAUUUAUAUAUAUAUAUAUAUAUAUAUAUAU